UAGCACCGCUCAAGACGAAUGUAAUUGGUUAAAAAAAAUGCCACUUAACCAAAACACGUUUUUCUCCUCCCAUUCCGGAAUGCGGUGUGGACUAGCAAGACCCUCCUCCGCAGGGCUGUGAAGGAAGGUCUGGCAAUGCCAGACUAAGGCUUCACAGUGACACAG
Molecule: long non-coding RNA, 165 nt
Organism: Etheostoma spectabile (orangethroat darter)
Lineage: Eukaryota; Metazoa; Chordata; Actinopteri; Perciformes; Percidae
Exons: 3
Source: RefSeq, a predicted model, not a curated record